This 875-nucleotide ribosomal RNA is filed under the name uncultured archaeon. Its description in RNAcentral is "bacterial SSU rRNA". It matches the Rfam family "Archaeal small subunit ribosomal RNA", at positions 21 to 904 of the family's 1478-position model. The record is from RNAcentral.
CCUGACUGCUAUCGGAUUGAUACUAAGCCAUGCGAGUCAUUGUAGCAAUACAAGGCAGACGGCUCAGUAACGCGUAGUCAAUCUACCCUAUGGACGGGAAUAACCUCGGGAAACUGAGAAUAAUGCCCGAUAGAACAUUAUGCCUGGAAUGGUUUAUGUUUCAAAUGAUUUAUCGCCAUAGGAUGGGACUGCGGCCUAUCAGUUUGUUGGUGAGGUAAUGGCCCACCAAGACUAUUACAGGUACGGGCUCUGAGAGGAGUAGCCCGGAGAUGGGUACUGAGACACGGACCCAGGCCCUAUGGGGCGCAGCAGGCGAGAAAACUUUGCAAUGUGCGAAAGCACGACAAGGUUAAUCCGAGUGGUUUCUGCUAAAGAAACCUUUUGUCAGUCCUAGAAACACUAACGAAUAAGGGGUGGGCAAGUUCUGGUGUCAGCCGCCGCGGUAAAACCAGCACCUCAAGUGGUCAGGAUGAUUAUUGGGCCUAAAGCAUCCGUAGCUUGUUUUGUAAGUUUUCGGUUAAAUCCAUGCGCUUAACGUAUGGGCUGCCGGGAAUACUGCAUAACUAGGAAGUGGGAGAGGUAGACGGUACUCGGGAGGAAGGGGUAAAAUCCUUUGAUCUCUUGAUGACCACCUGUGGCGAAGGCGGUCUACCAGAACACGUUCGACGGUGAGGGAUGAAAGCUGGGGGAGCAAACCGGAUUAGAUACCCGGGUAGUCCCAGCUGUAAACUAUGCAAACUCAGUGAUGCAUUGGCUUAUGGCCAAUGCAGUGCUGCAGGGAAGCCGUUAAGUUUGCCGCCUGGGAAGUACGUACGCAAGUAUGAAACUUAAAGGGAUUGGCGGGGGAGCACCACAAGGGUGAAGCCUGCGGUUCA